Long non-coding RNA from Vitis vinifera (wine grape), 4151 nucleotides. RefSeq lists it as uncharacterized. The transcript is spliced from 3 exons. The record is from RefSeq and is a predicted model, not a curated record. NCBI's taxonomy places the organism in Eukaryota, Viridiplantae, Streptophyta, Magnoliopsida, Vitales, Vitaceae.
UUGAUGUAGUUUUUUUUUCAUCAUUUCCACUCAUGACUCUGUUUUCUUUGAUCUUCUAUCUUUUUUUUCUAUGGUUAUCUCUGAUUUUCUGGGCAUUGGAUGAUUGUUUGAGCAUGUGAUGACGUAUUACUUUUCUCUUACAUUGUUUAUCUGAAUAUGGCUCACUCCUAUGAUGGAAUUUUGUUGAUGCUUUCAUCUUGAUAUUUGUUAUGACUUGUCUUGUUGCACCACUGGUUGGGGAACCCUUGAUUUCAACUUGAAAGGGGAUCCCACUAUGGCUCUGCUCACCUUAUCUAUUGGGUUUUAAGUAAGUUGUGUUUUGUCUUGCUCUCUCACCUCUAUUUCCGGUGCCUCAACCCAUAUCUCUGCUCUCUGGUUCAUAUUUUUGGAUCUGCUCUGGAUGAUCGUUUGCCUGUUCUGACCUGUGCUUGAGAAUGAGAGGGCUGCGCGUUAGCUUACUACCCCAAAUCUGUGACCUUAGUGGACAAGACAUAUGCCUGGUUUACAUCAGCCGCUAUUCUAGCUGUUAGGUUUGCCAUUGAUACAGAAAGCUAUAUUCUCCUUUGGUGGCAGCGAGAGUAAAACGGGGUCGGGCUCCAUUAGGACAUGCCAUGUGUGGAUGUUCUCACAUGUUUAUAUUAUGCUCCUCACAAUUUCCAGGUGUUGCUUUAAGCCUGUUUUAUUCCUUGUCAUAAUAGCAAGUGAAAGAGAUCAUAAUGAAGGAGAUUUGACCAUGGAAUAAUCCAAAGAACCAGAAUUCAAGAGUUAGAGAUGCCAUGAGAGGUAUUAAUGGUUUACGGAACUCAAAAGCUCUUCUGUAACCUCUCAUCCUCUCACUCAGAGUCUCUGUUCCUCGGGUCUAAGCCAUGACCAGUGAGAGAGAGAGAGAUACGCAGACAAUAGAGGUGUGGCAAUUCUUCUCUACUGUAUCGACUAAUGAAGGGUCCUCAGGCACUGGUGAGGCAGAGAUUAAAGCCGCCAUAGGACUAUCUGGGCAUGGUUUCAACUCUGUUUGUAUUAUAAGGAUUUUCCUAACUCGGUCACACAUGGUUAAAGCUCAGGAUGGUAUGAAGGCUGCAUUGGGAUGCAUGACUGAAAAUGACUGUGGAUAGUACAUGUAUGAUACUGUCAAGGGAAGGGACUGGUUAGGUGUCCAGGAUGCUAUUCAGUAAGUGUGUGGGGAGGCACCAGAAGCAGUGAUAAGGCUUGAGAACUACACCUCCAGUUUGGGUGCAUGGAAGCCUUAUCCACCGCCACCGAUGUAUUCCAGACCUGGGAAGUCGUCACAUGACUUGCUUAGUGACAGCCAAUGCAAUUCCAUCUCAAGAGACACAGUUGGCCCUGAGGAUGCGUUUAGGGGGUUUCCAUCUAAUUCGAGUCCAUCCUGAAGUCUUCCAUCCGCUGACCUGGUGCCUCCAUCAGUCCCGGAUGGUGAUAUUCAUGAGCUUCCUAGGCUCCCCUUCUAGUUUGACCUUGAAACCUUCAAGACCUUCAAGUGGGAUAGGUCAUCCUGCCUCCUUUUGGUUGCCAGUGAUCCCAACCUUUUUUUUUAUAUACUAUAAAUAAAUUGGUGGUAUCAGGUACAACAUUUCGGUUGCCAUUACCUCUGCAAGCUGUUCCUCUCAGUUUCUCCACCCCCUCAAGUGAUCAGAAAAUGAAGACAUCCAGCAUGCGCCAACUUCUUCUGUCAAUGAUAAUAGUCAACUUGAAAAUGCCGAAUGAUUUUAAGUAACUCCAUGGGAUAUAAAUACAUUGUUCCAGACAUUGUUCCAAGCAUGGAAGGGUAAGUUCGCAAGCAAUUUCAGCGUGUUCUCGAGAAACAAAAGAUGCAGUUCAUGUUCAGAAUAAAGGUAACAAGUGUUGAUACAUCUGGAGACCUUGUUAAAUUGACACUUGAACCAGCAGCCAGUGGUGAGCAGAGCACACUUGAGGCUGAUUUUGUUCCUGUCUCAGCUGGCGUCCGUGCUAUUGAUGAUGUAAUUCCAGGUUCCAUGUUAACUCACAAGGCAGAAGAGGAGGGGAGCUUAUAGGUGCAAGAGUUGACUGAAUUGGAGAGACAAGGACAAGGGAUGUCUGUGGUAAGAUAGAUGUGAUUUGUUACAGGCCACAACUGUUCACGGCUCGGACCAAGUGACUGUGCCAGCCGCUUCGUCUGAAUCGUACUGCACUUCUAAAUCUUGUUCUAGCGAACGUUGGAGAUGGAGCAAUAAUCAUAAACAAUCUACUUCAGCAUUUGAAAGAGCACAAAAACCCAGUAAUGGAAGGAGUUUUGGCUGACAUAGAGAGCAUGCUAGUUCAGGGAAGAAUGGAAUUGCCUCUCAGCUUGUGUUUUGCAGUUUUGAGAGGAGAUGACCUAUUGUUGUAUCAGUUGCUGAAACGUGGUUUGGAUCUAAACGAAUUGGACAGCAACGGAUGAAUUCCUCUGCAUAUUGCAGCGUUCAAAGGGAGAGCCAAAUCUAAAAAUAGAUUCUUGUUCUACCUAUUCAUAGGAAGAAGAACCCCCAGUGCAAAUUCAAAGUUCUGAAGUUUUGCUGCUUCCCUACAAGGAAGAAACAUCAACUGCUGUAGAGAUCACAACAGAACAAGUUGGGUCUUCAGUAGUUUCAGGCUCCAAUGCAGAAUUAUUGGACUUUGAUAGCUGGUUCACAAGGCUCCUCAUUCAUAUGGCCACCUCGGGGUACCUCUGAUCAGUCCUCGCCCAUAAUCAGUUUCAGUAUACUCAUGAUCUUGCAGUAUUCAUCACUCUGGUUCCGUUGGGAUUUUAGAGAAGGCAUGCAACUGGUGUUCAAGGUGCACCAAGUUCAGAAUCCCACUUGUGCACUGGACCUACAAGCAUGACCCGUUUUGCAUGGCCACCUUUGGCAUGCAACCAAGGGGCCACUUGUCAUCUUUCACUUCCCCCAUACCUCUUUGAUUUUGAAAAUAAUUCCCAAACUUCAUUUUGUAAUUCCAAAUUCUGUUUUGUUUUAAAAUAACUUCAAGUCUUCAAAGUUUUCAUCCUUAGAGUCUUUAGGUUCCACAAGACUCAUUUUCAAUAAAAUUUGGUUGCUAUUUCCUCUUCGGCAAGCCAUUUUCACAUUUUCUAUUUUUUUGAAAUGUUUUAAAAUAGGGAAAAUUAGGUUUUGGGCUCUUGAUAUGGAAUAUAUAUGGUUUUGAAAACCUAAGUGUAUAAAAUAUGAGAUGUCACUGUUAAUUGGUAAAAUAAUAUCCAAAACAUGCAUUAUGUCCUGUUUACUUUUCUUCUUCCCAGAUUGCCCCUAAAUUUCUCCAUGUCAUCAGCAAAUUAUCCCAUGUCAGCAGAACACAAAGAAACCCGACCCGAGAACCAGGAAUCUCUCUCUCUUCCCGUCAUUUUGCCCUAACCCCAUCUCAGGAAAUUCCCAAUUUCUAAAUUUCUCAUCUUCUUCCCACAAGCCCCUCGUUGAAUUUGCUAGCUACCUCUUCAUGUCGUGGCAUUUCGGUCGACAACCCUUCAAUCAAAUCUUUCUCAUAUUUCAGAUACGUGGGUUUUCAAAACCAUAUAUCUUCCAUAGCAGCCUGCAAUCACAACUUUCCCUUUUUAAUACACCUGCUUCACUUGCUCCAAUUUUAAAGUGCCCAAAAAAAUUUUCACUUGCGUAAUUUCCUCACGAAAAUGUCUUCCAUCGGAACUUCAAAGGGAAUCCUGGAAAUCGGAAAGUUCGCUUUCUAUGUCUCAAUCCCGAUUGAUCUGAUGUAUACUUUGGCAAACAAUUCCGAGAAUAUGAAGAAACUCGUCCAGAAGGUGGAUCAUGAGAGACAAAACUGAGGUGCAGAAUGGAAGACGAAUGUUGUGUGACAGAGAGUAUUCUUUGCAAUACUCGGUCAAAAUGGAGUUGGUUUGAGGUGAAUUUAGGUUAAAAGAUGAGUACUCCGGAUGCAACUCGAGCAGAACUUGCUCUUGUAAUUUUGUAUUUGAACAAAGCUGAAGCUAGGGAUAAGAUAUGCAGGGCAAUACAAUAUGGUUUGAAAAUUUGGCGUGAUGGACAGCCUGGUACUGCCCAAAAUGUUGACAAAUCAACCAGCUUGGCAUGGAAAGUUUUCCAUCUUUUUAAGGUUGGGUGAUACCGUACAUUGUGGUGUAAAACUUUUAUCUAUAUAUAUAUAUAUAUAUAUAUUAAUCUUGUCUCCUA